GACGAACGCUGGCGGCGUGCCUAAUACAUGCAAGUAGAACGCUGAAGGAGGAGCUUGCUUCUCUGGAUGAGUUGCGAACGGGUGAGUAACGCGUAGGUAACCUGCCUGGUAGCGGGGGAUAACUAUUGGAAACGAUAGCUAAUACCGCAUAAUAGUAGAUGUUGCAUGACAUUUGCUUAAAAGGUGCAAUUGCAUCACUACCAGAUGGACCUGCGUUGUAUUAGCUAGUUGGUGGGGUAACGGCUCACCAAGGCGACGAUACAUAGCCGACCUGAGAGGGUGAUCGGCCACACUGGGACUGAGACACGGCCCAGACUCCUACGGGAGGCAGCAGUAGGGAAUCUUCGGCAAUGGACGGAAGUCUGACCGAGCAACGCCGCGUGAGUGAAGAAGGUGUUCGGAUCGUAAAGCUCUGUUGUAAGAGAAGAACGAGUGUGAGAGUGGAAAGUUCACACUGUGACGGUAUCUUACCAGAAAGGGACGGCUAACUACGUG
This 495-nucleotide ribosomal RNA is filed under the name uncultured bacterium. Its description in RNAcentral is "partial 16S ribosomal RNA". It matches the Rfam family "Bacterial small subunit ribosomal RNA", at positions 28 to 507 of the family's 1533-position model. The record is from RNAcentral.